GCCCUUCCCAGUUCUAAUUUAUUAUCUUGAGGAUAUGGUGGAAAUGAGCUAGAGUCUGGAAGGCAUCCCCCCAGCUACAACCAGAGUUUCGCCGGUAAUAUACGAAGCAUCAUCCGAUGCCAGAAAGGCAGUGGCAGCAGCCAUGUCUUCAGUCGUACCAAGCCGGUUGAGUAAAGUCUUUGACUCAACUCCCUUUUUAACGGCUUCAUUAGACACAAGGAAAUCAGCAAAGUGUGUUGGCACGAAACCAGGAGCGACACAGUUUACACGAGUGUCAGGGGCCAUCUCUGCAGCAAGAGCCUUUGUCAGUCCAAGAAGGGCUGUUUUUGUCACCCCAUACAUGGCCAAUAAGGCAGAAGGCUGGAAUCCUUCAAUGGAGGAAAUAAGAACAACUGAAGAGCCUUUUUGCAAGUGAGGAGCUACUUCCUGCAAAAGGAGGACCGAAGCUUUAACAUUUAUGUCCCACAACUUGUCAAGGACAGAUUCUUGAGUUCGCAAGAUGGAUUCGACUGAUGGAUUGACAGCUGCAUUCGAUACAACCACGUCUAUUUUUCCAUAUUUCUGGAUAGUCUUUUCCACCAGAUUCU
This 587-nucleotide unclassified non-coding RNA is filed under the name Hevea brasiliensis (rubber tree). The record is from RNAcentral. Lineage: Eukaryota; Viridiplantae; Streptophyta; Magnoliopsida; Malpighiales; Euphorbiaceae.